RNAcentral lists this unclassified non-coding RNA (330 nucleotides) under Hevea brasiliensis (rubber tree). Lineage: Eukaryota; Viridiplantae; Streptophyta; Magnoliopsida; Malpighiales; Euphorbiaceae. The record is from RNAcentral.
GUGCCUGGGCAGACAAAUUCAAUGAGGUGGUGUACUUUUCAUUUCCAGGGUCCUCCUCCACCGCUUGCAAGAAGCACUCUGCAGCCCUAUCAAACAAGAUCUUCGCCUCAUCGAUAUCAGGGAGGCAAAAUCCGCGGGCGGUUAACACAUUCCCCAGAAGCCAUAUGGUUUCGUGCUUGCUCGGAUUGAGCUGCAACGCUUCCUCCAGCUUCGAAAUAGCCUCUUCCAGCAUCCUCACACAUCCUUCGCCGCUCUGGCACUGCGCGAGCUCGAGAAGCGAUGCGCCCCACUUCGUGAGAUUGUCAGCAUCGAGGGGAUUCUUGAUGUAGG